GUACUUCUGAAGAGUCCCAAAAUAGGACGAAACAGCUGUCUAGUAC
This 46-nucleotide non-coding RNA is filed under the name Trichobilharzia regenti. The record is from RNAcentral. Lineage: Eukaryota; Metazoa; Platyhelminthes; Trematoda; Strigeidida; Schistosomatidae.